RNAcentral lists this ribosomal RNA (510 nucleotides) under uncultured bacterium. RNAcentral's name for it is "partial 16S ribosomal RNA". It matches the Rfam family "Bacterial small subunit ribosomal RNA", at positions 28 to 507 of the family's 1533-position model. The record is from RNAcentral.
GACGAACGCUGGCGGCGUGCUUAACACAUGCAAGUCGAACGAAGAGCGAUGGAAGCUUGCUUCUAUCAAUCUUAGUGGCGAACGGGUGAGUAACGCGUAAUCAACCUGCCCUUCAGAGGGGGACAACAGUUGGAAACGACUGCUAAUACCGCAUACGAUCUAAUCUCGGCAUCGAGGAUAGAUGAAAGGUGGCCUCUACAUGUAAGCUAUCACCGAAGGAGGGGAUUGCGUCUGAUUAGCUAGUUGGAGGGGUAACGGCCCACCAAGGCGAUGAUCAGUAGCCGGUCUGAGAGGAUGAACGGCCACAUUGGGACUGAGACACGGCCCAGACUCCUACGGGAGGCAGCAGUGGGGAAUCUUCCGCAAUGGACGAAAGUCUGACGGAGCAACGCCGCGUGAGUGAUGACGGCCUUCGGGUUGUAAAGCUCUGUUAAUCGGGACGAAAGGCCUUCUUGCGAAUAGUGAGAAGGAUUGACGGUACCGGAAUAGAAAGCCACGGCUAACUACGUG